CCUACGGGAGGCAGCAGUAGGGAAUCUUCCUCAAUGGGCGAAAGCCUGAUGGAGCAACGCCGCGUGGGUGAUGAAGGUCUUCGGAUUGUAAAACCCUGUUGUUAGAGAAGAAAGUGCGUGUGUGUAACUGUUCACGUUUGGACGGCAUCUAACCAGAAAGCCACGGCUAACUACGUGCCAGCAGCUGCGGUAAAACGGAGGUGGCUAGAGUUAGCUUGAUUUAUUUGGCGUAAAGGGAGCGCAGGCGGUAUUUUAAGCCUGAUGUGAAAGUCUUGGGCUUAACCGGAGUAGUGCAUUGGAAACUGGGAGACUAGAGUGCGGAAGAGGUGGGUGGAACUCCAGGUGUAGCGGUGAAAUGCGUAGAGAUAAGGAAGAACACCAGUGGCGAAGGCGGCUCUCUGGACUGUAACUGACGCUGAGGUUCGAAAGCGUGGGUAGCAAACAGGAUUAGAUACCCGUGUAGUC
This 465-nucleotide ribosomal RNA is filed under the name uncultured bacterium. RNAcentral's name for it is "partial 16S ribosomal RNA". It matches the Rfam family "Bacterial small subunit ribosomal RNA", at positions 338 to 795 of the family's 1533-position model. The record is from RNAcentral.